GGGCCCGUGGUGAAAUCUGGUAUCACACACCCUUGGCUUGGGUGAGUCUCCGGGUUCAAAUCCCGGCAGGUCCA
RNAcentral lists this transfer RNA (74 nucleotides) under Candidatus Woesearchaeota archaeon. Its description in RNAcentral is "tRNA-Ala". It matches the Rfam family "tRNA". From Rfam's summary of the family: Transfer RNA (tRNA) molecules are approximately 80 nucleotides in length. The record is from RNAcentral. Lineage: Archaea; Nanobdellati; Candidatus Woesearchaeota.